This 487-nucleotide ribosomal RNA is filed under the name uncultured bacterium. RNAcentral's name for it is "bacterial SSU rRNA". It matches the Rfam family "Bacterial small subunit ribosomal RNA", at positions 21 to 507 of the family's 1533-position model. The record is from RNAcentral.
GGCUCAGAUUGAACGCUGGCGGAAUGCUUUACACAUGCAAGUCGAACGGUAGAGGGGGCAACCCCUUGAGAGUGGCGAACGGGUGAGUAAUAUAUCGGAACGUGCCCAGUCGUGGGGUAUAACGUAGCGAAAGCUACGCUAAUACCGCAUACGAUCUAUGGAUGAAAGCGGGGGAUCGCAAGACCUCGCGCGAUUGGAGCGGCCGAUAUCAGAUUAGGUAGUUGGUGAGGUAAAGGCUCACCAAGCCGACGAUCUGUAGCUGGUCUGAGAGGACGACCAGCCACACUGGGACUGAGACACGGCCCAGACUCCUACGGGAGGCAGCAGUGGGGAAUUUUGGACAAUGGGCGCAAGCCUGAUCCAGCAAUGCCGCGUGCAGGAUGAAGGCCUUCGGGUUGUAAACUGCUUUUGUACGGAACGAAACGGUGAGCUCUAAUACAGUUUGCUAAUGACGGUACCGUAAGAAUAAGCACCGGCUAACUACGUG